RNAcentral lists this ribosomal RNA (468 nucleotides) under uncultured bacterium. RNAcentral's name for it is "partial 16S ribosomal RNA". It matches the Rfam family "Bacterial small subunit ribosomal RNA", at positions 28 to 507 of the family's 1533-position model. The record is from RNAcentral.
GACGAACGCUGGCGGCGUGCUUAACACAUGCAAGUCGAACGGAAAGGCCCUGCUUUUGUGGGGUGCUCGAGUGGCGAACGGGUGUGUAACACGUGAGUAUCCUGCCCUUGUCUUUGGGAUAACUUCAGGAAACUGGGGCUAAUACCGGAUAGGAGCUCCUGCUGCAUGGUGGGGGUUGGAAAGUUUCGGCGGUUGUGGAUGGACUCGCGGCUUAUCAGCUUGUUGGUGGGGUAGUGGCUUACCAAGGCUUUGACGGGUAGACUGCCUGAGAGGGUGAACGGCCACAUUGGGACUGAGAGACGGCCCAGACGCGUACGGGAGGCAGCAGGGGGGAAUAUUGCACAAUGGGCGGAAGCCUGAUGCAGCAACGCCGCGUGCGGGAAAACGGCCUACGGGGUGUAAACCGCUUUGGCCUGAGACGAAGCCUGAUUGACGGUAACGAGUAAAGAAGCACCGGCUAACUACGUG